This 1225-nucleotide ribosomal RNA is filed under the name Neotephritis finalis. Its description in RNAcentral is "partial 16S ribosomal RNA". The record is from RNAcentral. Lineage: Eukaryota; Metazoa; Arthropoda; Insecta; Diptera; Tephritidae.
UGCAAAUCAAUAUAAAUUGAAUAAUAUUUAUUUAUUAAUUUAUUGAUUAUUUUUAUUUAUAUGUGUAUAUAUUAUGUAUUAAAAAUAAUUAUAAAAUUAUUUUGUUUUAGUAAUUUUUAAUGAAAAAAUAAAUUUAAUAAUAGUUUAUUUGUAUUGUGAAAGAAUAUUGAAAUAUUUUGAAAAAUUUUUAUUUAAAAAGAAAAAUUAAUUAUUUGUACCUUGUGUAUCAGGGUUUAUUAAAUAAUUAAUAAUUAUUUAUUAAUCUCGAUUUUAUAAGAGUUAAUAAUUUAUGAAAGUUAAUGUGUCAAAAUUAUUUUUAAUAAAUUAUUAGAAAUGAAAUGUUAUUCGUUUAUAAAUAUAUCUAGUUUUUUUAGAAAUAAAUUUAAUUUAUAAAUUUUUAAUUUAUUUAUUAUUUUAUAAAUAAAUAAAUUUAAUUAAUUUAAAUAUUUUAAGGGAUAAGCUUUAAAAUAAAUUAUUAUAAAUUUAAUAAAUAUAAAUAAAAAUAUAUGUUUAGAAUUAGCAAUUAUUAAAAAUUUUGUUAUAAAUUAUUUUAUAAAAUAUAUUAUUUAUUAAUAUUUUAAUUUUUUAUAAAAUUUUUUUUUUUAAUUUUAUUUAAAAAGAAAUAAUGAUAAAAUUAGUAUAUUAAUUAUGUUUAAUAAUUUUAUUUGAUAAGUUUAUAUAAAGAACUCGGCAAAUCUUUUACUCGCCUGUUUAACAAAAACAUGUCUUUUUGAGUUAUUUUUAAAGUCUAACCUGCCCAAUGAAUAAUUUAAUGGCCGCAGUAUUUUAACUGUGCAAAGGUAGCAUAAUCAUUAGUCUUUUAAUUGAAGGCUUGUAUGAAUGGUUGGACGAAGUAUAAUCUGUUUCAUAUAAAUUUAUUGUAGAAUUUUAUUUUUUAGUAAAAAAGCUAAAAUUUUGUUAAAAGACGAGAAGACCCUAUAAAUCUUUAUAAUUUUUAAAAUUUUUAUUUUUUAGUUUUCUUUUAUUUAAAUUUUAAUAAUUAUUUUGUUGGGGUGAUAUUAAAAUUUAAAAAACUUUUAAUUUUUAUUUACAUUAAUUUAUGAUUUAUUGAUCCAUUAUUAAUGAUUAUAAGAAUAAGUUACUUUAGGGAUAACAGCGUAAUUUUUUUGGAGAGUUCUUAUUGAUAAAAAAGUUUGCGACCUCGAUGUUGGAUUAAGAUAUAAUUUUAGGUGUAGUUGCUUAAAUAAUAAGUCUGUUCGACUUU